GUAAUCUCCUAUUGAGAUUAUUGUCAGAAAUACUGUCGCACUUCAUGUUUUUACAGCUCUAAGUACAAUUAGCUUUCAAUCUUGAGUAGUACCAAAGAACAAUCUUUGGACAACUGUUGCCUUCUGCAACUGUGAUGUUAACCUCCUGUGUUAGCCCUAGCGCACACUGAUCAAUUACCUGGUCAGGGCCAAAUGACUGCAAACGUACACCAAUAUGAUGAGCAGUAAAAUGGCGUUUUAUUCACUACCAUGCACAGCUUAUAUACUUUUACUUAAACAAUCGUACCAUCGUGUCUUACUCUGAUUUGUUCGCACUGGAUAUUAACCCUUUUCCUUAUUGGCUCCUACUGUCUCCUCAUUCCUUUGCGUUCUUAUCUUGUUUACUUGACAGCAAGGACCGUUUGUCUGAACACAAUAGCACCCUCUCACUGUGCUUAGGGAGAAGCCUGUCCCGUACAUCACGUAUCCCUGUCAUACGCCUACUACAGCAGGCAACACAGAACAUAUAUACUGCACAUAAGGUCAGACCAGUUAUUCUUGGGUUUCUCCACUCUCUGACCUGGCAGUCUUGGCUGGGGAGCAGACUAAACCCCCCAUGAUUCAGGAGGACACAGUAAGUAACCUGCUACUCCAAGUGGACUGCCACAAGUCCAUGGGGCCAGAUGAGAUUCACCCGAGAGUGCUGAGGGAACUGGUAGAGGUGAUAGCUGAGCCGCUUUCCAUCAUCUAUCAGUGCUCCUUGUUGACAGGUGAGGUCCCAGAAGACUGGAGGCUUGCUACAAGAAGGGCUACAGGGAGGAUCCGGGGAACUACAGGCCUGUUAGCCUGACCUCGGUGCCGGGGAAGAUUAUGGAGCAGAUUGUCUUGAGGGAGAUCAUGCGGCACGUGCGGGACAACCAGGGGAUCAGGCCUAGCCAACGUGGGUUCACAAAGGGCAGGUCCUGCUUGACCAACCUGAUCUCCUUCUAUGAUCUAGUGACCCAUUUGGUGGAUGAGGGAAAGGCUGUUGAUACAGUCUACCUAGACUUUAGCAAAGCCUUUGACACUGUCUCCCACAGUAUUCUCCUGCACAAGCUGGCAGCCCGUGGCUUGGACAGAUACACUCUUGGCUGGGUAAGGAACUGGCUUAAGGGCUGGGCCCAGAGAGUGGUGGUGAAUGGAGUUAAAUCCAGCUGGUGACCAGUCACAAGUGGUGUUCCCCAGGGGUCGGUGCUGGGGCCUGUCCUGUUUAAUAUUUUUAUUGAUGUCCUGGAUGAGGGUGUUGAGUGCACCCUCAGUAAGUCUGCAGAUGACACCAAGUUGGCUGGAAGUGUCGAUCCGCCUGAGCGUAGCGAGGCCCUACAGAGGGAUCUGGAUAGGCUGGAUAGCUGGGCUGAAGCCAAUGGGAUGAGAUUCAACAAGACCAAAUGCCGGGUCCUGCACUUUGGCCACAACAACCCCAGGCAACGCUACAGGCUUAGGGCAGAGUGGCUGGAAGACUGUGCAGAGGAAAUGGACCUGGGGGUGUUGAUUGACGCUAGACUGAACAUGAGCCAGCAGUGUGCCCAGGUGGCCAAGAAGGCCAAUGGCAUCCUGGCUUGUAUCAGAAAUAGUGUGGCCAGCAGGAACAGGGAAGUAAUCCUCCCCCUGUACUCAGCACUGGUGAGGCCCCAC
Long non-coding RNA from Gallus gallus (chicken), 1653 nucleotides. Lineage: Eukaryota; Metazoa; Chordata; Aves; Galliformes; Phasianidae. The record is from Ensembl.